Molecule: non-coding RNA, 92 nt
Organism: Marasmius tenuissimus
Lineage: Eukaryota; Fungi; Basidiomycota; Agaricomycetes; Agaricales; Marasmiaceae
Source: the annotation of a GenBank genome assembly
UCCAAUGUGGUGUAGUGGCUAACAUUGCUGUCUUUCAUGUCCGGUGGCACGAAUCAGCACAGCAGCCCGGGGUUCGAUUCCCCGCAUUGGAA